RNAcentral lists this ribosomal RNA (440 nucleotides) under uncultured bacterium. RNAcentral's name for it is "partial 16S ribosomal RNA". It matches the Rfam family "Bacterial small subunit ribosomal RNA", at positions 338 to 795 of the family's 1533-position model. The record is from RNAcentral.
CCUACGGGAGGCAGCAGUGGGGAAUAUUGCACAAUGGGGGAAACCCUGAUGCAGCGACGCCGCGUGAGUGAAGAAGUAAUUCGUUAUGUAAAGCUCUAUCAGCAGGGAAGAAAAUGACGGUACCUGAGUAAGAAGCCCCGGCUAACUACGUGCCAGCAGCCGCGGUAAUACGUAGGGGGCAAGCGUUAUCCGGAUUUACUGGGUGUAAAGGGAGCGUAGGCGGCAGUGCAAGGCUGGAGGGAAAGGCGGGGGCUCAACCCCCGGACUGCCAUUGAAACCGUGGGGCGGGAGUGCAGGAGAGGUAUGCGGAAGGCGUGGUGGAGCGGUGAAAUGCGUAGAGAUGAGGCAGAACACCGAGGGCGAAGGCAGCAUGGCGGCUUGCGAAUGACGUUGAGGCACGAAAGCGGGGGGAGAGAACAGGAUUAGAUACCCUGGUAGGC